AACGAACGCUGGCGGCAUGCCUAACACAUGCAAGUCGAACGAGACCUUCGGGUCUAGUGGCGCACGGGUGCGUAACGCGUGGGAACCUGCCCUUAGGUUCGGAAUAACUCCCCGAAAGGGGUGCUAAUACCGGAUAAUGUCUUCGGACCAAAGAUUUAUCGCCUUUGGAUGGGCCCGCGUUGGAUUAGCUAGUUGGUAGGGUAAAAGCCUACCAAGGCGACGAUCCAUAGCUGGUCUGAGAGGAUGAUCAGCCACACUGGGACUGAGACACGGCCCAGACUCCUACGGGAGGCAGCAGUGGGGAAUAUUGGACAAUGGGCGAAAGCCUGAUCCAGCAAGGCCGGGUGAGUGAUGAAGGCCUUAGGGUUGUAAAGCUCUUUUACCCGGGAUGAUAAUGACAGUACCGGGAGAAUAAGCUCCGGCUAACUCCGUG
Molecule: ribosomal RNA, 433 nt
Filed under: uncultured bacterium
Lineage: Bacteria
Description: partial 16S ribosomal RNA
Rfam family: Bacterial small subunit ribosomal RNA
Source: RNAcentral